CGGUGGCUCGCUACCUGCAAGUCGAGCGGUAGCACAGAGAGCUUGCUCUCGGGUGACGAGCGGCGGACGGGUGAGUAAUGUCUGGGAAACUGCCUGAUGGAGGGGGAUAACUACUGGAAACGGUAGCUAAUACCGCAUAACGUCGCAAGACCAAAGUGGGGGACCUUCGGGCCUCAUGCCAUCAGAUGUGCCCAGAUGGGAUUAGCUAGUAGGUGGGGUAAUGGCUCACCUAGGCGACGAUCCCUAGCUGGUCUGAGAGGAUGACCAGCCACACUGGAACUGAGACACGGUCCAGACUCCUACGGGAGGCAGCAGUGGGGAAUAUUGCACAAUGGGCGCAAGCCUGAUGCAGCCAUGCCGCGUGUAUGAAGAAGGCCUUCGGGUUGUAAAGUACUUUCAGCGAGGAGGAAGGCGUUAAGGUUAAUAACCUUGGUGAUUGACGUUACUCGCAGAAGAAGCACCGGCUAACUCCGUGCCAGCAGCCGCGGUAAUACGGAGGGUGCAAGCGUUAAUCGGAAUUACUGGGCGUAAAGCGCACGCAGGCGGUCUGUCAAGUCGGAUGUGAAAUCCCCGGGCUCAACCUGGGAACUGCAUUCGAAACUGGCAGGCUAGAGUCUUGUAGAGGGGGGUAGAAUUCCAGGUGUAGCGGUGAAAUGCGUAGAGAUCUGGAGGAAUACCGGUGGCGAAGGCGGCCCCCUGGACAAAGACUGACGCUCAGGUGCGAAAGCGUGGGGAGCAAACAGGAUUAGAUACCCUGGUAGUCCACGCCGUAAACGAUGUCGACUUGGAGGUUGUGCCCUUGAGGCGUGGCUUCCGGAGCUAACGCGUUAAGUCGACCGCCUGGGGAGUACGGCCGCAAGGUUAAAACUCAAAUGAAUUGACGGGGGCCCGCACAAGCG
This 899-nucleotide ribosomal RNA is filed under the name Klebsiella pneumoniae. RNAcentral's name for it is "bacterial SSU rRNA". It matches the Rfam family "Bacterial small subunit ribosomal RNA", at positions 40 to 931 of the family's 1533-position model. Lineage: Bacteria; Pseudomonadati; Pseudomonadota; Gammaproteobacteria; Enterobacterales; Enterobacteriaceae. The record is from RNAcentral.